Molecule: unclassified non-coding RNA, 256 nt
Organism: Cricetulus griseus (Chinese hamster)
Lineage: Eukaryota; Metazoa; Chordata; Mammalia; Rodentia; Cricetidae
Gene: 7SK
Rfam family: 7SK RNA
About the family: 7SK was discovered as an abundant small nuclear RNA in the mid-70s but a possible function has only recently been suggested.
Source: Ensembl
AGGUGUGGGGGUCAUUUGGCUAUGACAUCUACCACACAUAAAUCAGUGGAUAGUUGGGAAUCCUUUUCACUAUUCAAUCCUCUCUCACUAUUUCAGAUACAUUGCUGCCAAAGCUGUGUGCCUCCUGUAGAGGAUGAAUGUUCUUUGGUUAGGGGUAUAUGAGUGGCAGUGUUUCCCUGCUAGAACCUCCAAACAAGGUCUCAGAACACAUUGUAAAUGCCAGGUAGGCAUGGCAGCCCCCUCUGGAAUUCUAGAG